This 71-nucleotide transfer RNA is filed under the name Loxodonta africana (African savanna elephant). It matches the Rfam family "tRNA". From Rfam's summary of the family: Transfer RNA (tRNA) molecules are approximately 80 nucleotides in length. Their secondary structure includes four short double-helical elements and three loops (D, anti-codon, and T loops). Lineage: Eukaryota; Metazoa; Chordata; Mammalia; Proboscidea; Elephantidae. The record is from Rfam by way of RNAcentral.
GCAGUGGUGGUUCAGUGGUAGAAUUCUUGACCUCUACACAGGAGAGCCAGGUUUGAUUCCCGGCCAUUGUG